Molecule: non-coding RNA, 67 nt
Organism: Turnera subulata
Lineage: Eukaryota; Viridiplantae; Streptophyta; Magnoliopsida; Malpighiales; Passifloraceae
Source: the annotation of a GenBank genome assembly
AGCGGAGUGGCGGAAGCGCGGUUGGCUCAUAACCCACAGGUCCCAGGAUCGAAACCUGGCUCCGCUA